ACGGAGGGUGCAAGCGUUAUCCGGAAUCACUGGGUUUAAAGGGUGCGUAGGCGGCACAAUAAGUCAGAAGUGAAAGGCUGUAGCUUAAUAUGAAUUGCUUUUGAUACUGUUGAGCUUGAAUUGGGUUGAGGUUAGCGGAAUGAGUCAUGUAGCGGUGAAAUGCAUAGAUAUGACUUAGAACACCAAUUGCGAAGGCAGCUAACUGGGCUUGAUUGACGCUGAGGCACGAAAGCGUGGGGAGCAACAGGAUUAGAUACCCGGCGUAGUCC
RNAcentral lists this ribosomal RNA (269 nucleotides) under uncultured bacterium. RNAcentral's name for it is "partial 16S ribosomal RNA". It matches the Rfam family "Bacterial small subunit ribosomal RNA", at positions 525 to 796 of the family's 1533-position model. The record is from RNAcentral.